UACGUAGGAUGCAAGCGUUGUCCGGAUUUAUUGGGCGUAAAGCGAACGUAGGCGGUUUCCUAAGUUCGGGGUUAAAGACCGAGGCUCAACCUCGGGAGUGCCCUGGAUACUGGGAGACUGGAGGACGGCAGAGGAAAGUGGAAUUCCCAGUGUAGCGGUGAAAUGCGUAGAUAUUGGGAGGAACACCAGUGGCGAAAGCGACUUUCUGGGCCGUUCCUGACGCUGAGGUUCGAAAGCGUGGGGAGCAAACAGG
RNAcentral lists this ribosomal RNA (253 nucleotides) under uncultured bacterium. RNAcentral describes it as "partial 16S ribosomal RNA". It matches the Rfam family "Bacterial small subunit ribosomal RNA", at positions 524 to 776 of the family's 1533-position model. The record is from RNAcentral.